This 21-nucleotide ribosomal RNA is filed under the name Chaetoceros muelleri. RNAcentral's name for it is "Chaetoceros muellerii partial 18S ribosomal RNA". The record is from RNAcentral. Lineage: Eukaryota; Bacillariophyta; Thalassiosirophyceae; Chaetocerotales; Chaetocerotaceae.
GAUCUCAACUCCCGUGAAGGA